AGUGAACGCUGGCGGUAGGCCUAACACAUGCAAGUCGAACGGCAGCACAGUAAGAGCUUGCUCUUACGGGUGGCGAGUGGCGUACGGGUGAGGAAUACAUCGGAAUCUACUUUUUCGUGGGGGAUAACGUAGGGAAACUUACGCUAAUACCGCAUACGACCUACGGGUGAAAGCAGGGGAUCUUCGGACCUUGCGCGAUUGAAUGAGCCGAUGUCGGAUUAGCUAGUUGGCGGGGUAAAGGCCCACCAAGGCGACGAUCCGUAGCUGGUCUGAGAGGAUGAUCAGCCACACUGGAACUGAGACACGGUCCAGACUCCUACGGGAGGCAGCAGUGGGGAAUAUUGGACAAUGGGCGCAAGCAUGAUCCAGCCAUACCGCGUGGGUGAAGAAGGCCUUCGGGUUGUAAAGCCCUUUUGUUGGGAAAGAAAAGCAGCAGGUUAAUACCCCGCUGUUCUGACGGUACCCAAAGAAUAAGCACCGGCUAACUUCGUG
Molecule: ribosomal RNA, 492 nt
Filed under: uncultured bacterium
Lineage: Bacteria
Description: partial 16S ribosomal RNA
Rfam family: Bacterial small subunit ribosomal RNA
Source: RNAcentral